This 292-nucleotide ribosomal RNA is filed under the name uncultured bacterium. RNAcentral describes it as "partial 16S ribosomal RNA". It matches the Rfam family "Bacterial small subunit ribosomal RNA", at positions 505 to 796 of the family's 1533-position model. The record is from RNAcentral.
GUGUCAGCAGCCGCGGUAAUACGGGGGGGGCAAGCGUUGUUCGGAAUUACUGGGCGUAAAGGGCUCGUAGGUGGCCAACUAAGUCAGACGUGAAAUCCCUCGGCUUAACCGGGGAACUGCGUCUGAUACUGGAUGGCUUGAGUUCGGGAGAGGGAUGCGGAAUUCCAGGUGUAGCGGUGAAAUGCGUAGAUAUCUGGAGGAACACCGGUGGCGAAGGCGGCAUCCUGGACCGACACUGACACUGAGGAGCGAAAGCCAGGGGAGCAAACGGGAUUAGAAACCCCAGUAGUCC